This 402-nucleotide ribosomal RNA is filed under the name uncultured Rhizomicrobium sp. RNAcentral describes it as "bacterial SSU rRNA". It matches the Rfam family "Bacterial small subunit ribosomal RNA", at positions 353 to 772 of the family's 1533-position model. The record is from RNAcentral. Lineage: Bacteria; Pseudomonadati; Pseudomonadota; Alphaproteobacteria; Micropepsales; Micropepsaceae.
AGUUGGGAAUCUUGGACAAUGGGGGAAACCCUGAUCCAGCCAUGCCGCGUGAGUGAUGAAGGCCUUCGGGUUGUAAAACUCUUUCGCGCACGACGAUAAUGACGGUAGUGCGAGAAGAAGCUCCGGCUAACUUCGUGCCAGCAGCCGCGGUAAUACGAAGGGGGCUAGCGUUGUUCGGAAUUACUGGGCGUAAAGCGCGCGCAGGCGGCUAUCCAAGUCAGUGGUGAAAGCCCGGGGCUCAACUCCGGAACUGCCAUUGAAACUGUUUAGCUUGAGUAUGAGAGAGGUGAGUGGAAUUCCCAGUGUAGAGGUGAAAUUCGUAGAUAUUGGGAAGAACACCGGUGGCGAAGGCGGCUCACUGGCUCAUUACUGACGCUCAGGCGCGACAGCGUGGGGAUCAAA